UACGAGUGCCCCAAGCGUUAUCCGGAAUCAUUGGGCGUAAAGGGUGUGUAGGUGGUUGUGUUAGUCUUCUGUUAAAUUCUUCGGCUUAACCGGGGGCAUGCGGAGGAAACGGCACAACUAGAGGAUGCGAGAGGUGAACGGAACUCAUGGAGUAGGGGUGAAAUCCGUUGAUAUCAUGGGGAACACCAAAUGCGAAGGCAGUUCACUGGCGCACUCCUGACACUGAGACACGAAAGCGUAGGUAGCGAAUGGG
RNAcentral lists this ribosomal RNA (253 nucleotides) under uncultured bacterium. RNAcentral's name for it is "partial 16S ribosomal RNA". It matches the Rfam family "Bacterial small subunit ribosomal RNA", at positions 524 to 776 of the family's 1533-position model. The record is from RNAcentral.